Molecule: long non-coding RNA, 1829 nt
Organism: Pipra filicauda (Wire-tailed manakin)
Lineage: Eukaryota; Metazoa; Chordata; Aves; Passeriformes; Pipridae
Exons: 3
Source: RefSeq, a predicted model, not a curated record
CCCUGGCACAGGUUUUCCAGAGAAGCUGUGGCUGCCCCUGGAUCCCUGGGAGUGUCCAAGGAGCAGGGUCAGAAUCAGGGUUACAGCAGAAGGGGGAACUGUGCUACAGCUCUGGAGAUCUCAGUUCUCAUCAGUGGGGGGAAGUUUGCAUGGUGUGGGGGUCUGGAAGAUUCCCAGGACAGGGGCCAAGCCCCUUGUUUUGGGGUGUGAUUAUCCAACAAAAUGGGGUGGGAAUGUGCAGCAACACAAGCCAUGGGUGACGUAUCUUGGGAACACUUUAACUGGGCACAACAGCUUUCCCUGUGGGUCCUUCUGCAGCCACCAAUCCAGUCUGGAUUUUGGGCUCACCCUAGUUCUUCCCUGCCUCCCAUAACCAUGGAUUGUUUCUGUUCUGCCAGUUCCCCGAGUAUUUGGGAAUAAAAGAGGGCAGUGCUGGAUCAGGGCCAUUCCCUCAUCUCCAACAGCAGUGGCAGUAACAGCUCUUGAGAGACAAAGAGCCCACUUAGACUGUGCUGGAUGGCUUUUCCAACAUUCCCUGCAGUGGAUUUUAUGGCAACAACAACUACUGGGGAGACAAGGCUGAGGCUGUGAAGAGGGAGGAGUGGGGUGGGAGCCAGGCUGAGCUCACCGCUGUGCAGGACUGAUAAGCUGACCACGGAACUCCAGCUCAGCUCCACUCCCCCAUGUCAGAGACACCCCCAUGGUGAAGUCACGAGGUAUUUUUGUCCCCUGAGGUGCCUCAAGGCCCAGCCUGGGUGUUUGCCUUUCAGACAGAUGAAUAUACCCCGCAGUUUUACCCUCGUCAUCCAAGACACUGGAGACACAGAGCUCUUCCAGUUUUCUCCCCCCCCUUUGCGUGGCCUUCAGCCCAAAUUCCUUAGGACUAAGCCAUGGCCGUGCUGGUUUCCCACGUGAAGGACUUACAUUUCUGUAGCCACACCACAUUUUAAUUUGCUUUCUCAGCAAAAUCUUUAUAUUAAUCACAGGGAGUGGGGUUGGGCUCACUGGGUGUCCCUGCACCUGAACAGGACACCCAGGGCUGCUUUAAGCCCCUGCCUACAUUUAAUCAGAGGGAUCCCAUCCUGGGCUGCUCCUGCUGUAGAUCCAGACAACUAGUCCAGGCACUGGUGCAGAUGUUUGGAUUUAGGAAAGACCAAUCCCCUGAGUCUCAGUUUUAUGACUCUCACGUGGAGACGGAAAACUGCAGGUCAGAGGUGUUAAUUGUCACCUUGUGCUGAUGAAACAGGGGCAGGGAGGGAAGCAACAGGAAUAACAGGUUUAAAAUAUGUAAGAUGGGAAUUAAAGGGCGAAAGGAGUGGGAUGUGUUACCCUAAAGAGCCAAAAGGAGGGAAUUUGAAGGGACAGGACAUAACAAUCCUCACUUCAUGGAAGAUCAGGGUAAAGACAGCGACGAGCUGUGGGUUUGGGUGAGCUCAGGGCUAGCAGAGCUCUGCCAUGUGCAGGCAUGGGAAUAGUCCUGGAGCUCCCUGGGAAUGCCAGGGGACACUGGGAGGUCACCACUCUGAAAUCCCACAGACCAUUAAAUCCUCUUUGAUCUCUCCUGAGGAAGUUUUGCAGCGCCAGGUUGGGAAGAACUUUUAAGACCUGCCAAAACAUUCCAAGAGCCCCCAGAUGUGGUUCUAGGUGAGAAAAGCAAGACUGUAGGAGCACUUGGCCAAUCCUUGCGAUUCCAGCUAUGAAAAAUAUUCCAACAUCCAGCAGUAAAUGCAGUGCCAAUUUCAGCCAGAAGUGCUGACACUAAGCCAGGCUUUUGCACAAAGAGGAUUUCACACUUAGUUUGCUUCAGCUGAGUCGUGAAUGUAUCAGCC